RNAcentral lists this ribosomal RNA (485 nucleotides) under Neobacillus pocheonensis. Its description in RNAcentral is "bacterial SSU rRNA". It matches the Rfam family "Bacterial small subunit ribosomal RNA", at positions 395 to 871 of the family's 1533-position model. The record is from RNAcentral. Lineage: Bacteria; Bacillati; Bacillota; Bacilli; Caryophanales; Bacillaceae.
CGCCGCGUGAGCGAUGAAGGCCUUCGGGUCGUAAAGCUCUGUUGUUAGGGAAGAACAAGUAUCGGAGUAACUGCCGGUACCUUGACGGUACCUAACCAGAAAGCCACGGCUAACUACGUGCCAGCAGCCGCGGUAAUACGUAGGUGGCAAGCGUUGUCCGGAAUUAUUGGGCGUAAAGCGCGCGCAGGCGGUCCUUUAAGUCUGAUGUGAAAGCCCACGGCUCAACCGUGGAGGGUCAUUGGAAACUGGGGGACUUGAGUGCAGAAGAGGAAAGCGGAAUUCCACGUGUAGCGGUGAAAUGCGUAGAGAUGUGGAGGAACACCAGUGGCGAAGGCGGCUUUCUGGUCUGUAACUGACGCUGAGGCGCGAAAGCGUGGGGAGCAAACAGGAUUAGAUACCCUGGUAGUCCACGCCGUAAACGAUGAGUGCUAAGUGUUAGAGGGUUUCCGCCCUUUAGUGCUGCAGCUAACGCAUUAAGCACUCCG